UACGGAAUGUGCAAACGUUAUUCGGAAUCACUGGGCUUAAAGAGUCCGUGGGCGGCUUGUUAGGUGAGGUGUGAAAUCCCACGGCUCAACCGUGGAAUUGCGCUUCAAACCGGCAAGCUUGAGGAGGAUAGAGGUGGGCGGAACUGAUGGUGGAGCGGUGAAAUGCGUUGAUAUCAUCAGGAACACCGGGGGCGAAAGCGGGUUGCUGGGCUGACACUGACGCUGAGGCGCGAAAGCCAGGGGAGCGAACGGG
This 253-nucleotide ribosomal RNA is filed under the name uncultured bacterium. RNAcentral describes it as "partial 16S ribosomal RNA". It matches the Rfam family "Bacterial small subunit ribosomal RNA", at positions 524 to 776 of the family's 1533-position model. The record is from RNAcentral.